This 497-nucleotide ribosomal RNA is filed under the name uncultured bacterium. RNAcentral describes it as "partial 16S ribosomal RNA". It matches the Rfam family "Bacterial small subunit ribosomal RNA", at positions 28 to 507 of the family's 1533-position model. The record is from RNAcentral.
GACGAACGCUGGCGGCGUGCCUAAUACAUGCAAGUUGAGCGCUGAAGGUUGGUACUUGUACCAACUGGAUGAGCAGCGAACGGGUGAGUAACGCGUGGGGAAUCUGCCUUUGAGCGGGGGACAACAUUGGGAAACGAAUGCUAAUACCGCAUAAAAACUUUAAACACAAGUUUUAAGGUUGAAAGAUGCAAUUGCAUCACUCAAAGAUGAUCCCGCGUUGUAUUAGCUAGUUGGUGAGGUAAAGGCCCACCAAGGCGAUGAUACAUAGCCGACCUGAGAGGGUGAUCGGCCCCCUUGGGACUGGGACACCGCCCCAACUCCUUCCGGGGGCAGCCGUAGGGAAUCUUCGGCAAUGGACGAAAGUCUGACCGAGCAACGCCGCGGGAGUGAAGAAGGUUUUCGGAUCGUAAAACUCUGUUGGUAGAGAAGAACGUUGGUGAGAGUGGAAAGCUCAUCAAGUGACGGUAACUACCCAGAAAGGGACGGCUAACUACGUG